AUGGCAACGGCAACAAAAAGGGGAGGGGGAGGAGUGGGAACAACCAUGUCCACAAAAAGGCAGCAAUUGACUGCGCAGACAGGCUGGGAGCGGGCCUCGGGGGCCCCCCUGCCCGGGAUUAAACCCCCCUCGAGCCAGGCCUGGGAUGCUUCCUACCCCCGCCCCACCCCAUCCUCCCGCUCCAGUCUUUACGGUCGGAGAGCCAGGCUCAGGACGUUAGUGCCCCACCCCCCUUCCUGGGCCACCUCCUCCUGGGCACAUCCGGGACGGGGAGGGACUCCCGCCCCACGUUUUGCGGAGGACGGGGACUUGUUUAUUCGUGAAAAAGCAGCCCUGCCUGGGGCUGAGCUGGCUGUAGCCUCGUCCUCCAGUGCUGGUGAUAAGAUGAAUCUAACAGGCUCUCCGCGGGGAUCGCUUAUACACCGAGAUAAGCCGAGUCCCACACUUGGAGCAUUUCACCUCUCCUCCCCGAUAAAGCAGUCUGCGGUAACAAGUGCAUUAGGCCGAUGCAUGCAACUUUCAGGAGGAUCCAGGCUCCGGCCUAGCUAACCAGGAGGUCGUUCAUUGGGCCAGGCUUCUCCACCAAGAUUUAUCACCGAGCAGCGGCUAAAGUAUGCUUUUAAGGGAACUGUCAAACUUUGAAAAAGGCAACAGAAACUAGACUCCAGCCCUUCCCAGCACACCCGGCCCGGGUCACAACGACAAUCUGUCUCCGACAAAGCCUCCCACUGACAGUCCGACCUAUUUAGAACACGACCCGCAUUAGACAAGAUCAUGAAAGAAUCGGCAUGUUUCUACCUUCCAGGCUGGCCUAAGAGAGCUGGAUGCCAGUGUGAAGUGUUUGGGCCAAAUAGUUCUCCGUGGCCACUUGGUGGAUGAGUUGUUUCUCUUGCUUUGGGUCAAGUCAAAUGAAUGAAUCAAGAUCAACUCUCACCAUUUGCUUUAAUUUAUUCACAUUGUCCUUCCCCCUGAAAGCGGCAGGAGAGCCGGAGUGGUUCUUGGUGGAACCCUUAGGAACUGGGAGGAUAAACAGACUCCAUCAGAGAGGUCAGGAUGGGGGACGCUCUCUAAUCUUAAGAUAACUUGUGUAAACCAUUGCAAGGACUGGGAAUGGGGUAUAUAAACACACUUCAAGUAAGUAGAGAUGGGCUCAUCUUUCACCCAGGGAUGGUAUGUCGUCGGGACCAUUCUGACGGCGGCCAAUCACUCUGCGCGGAGGAAGAGGCCGCGUACCUGAGUGAUAAAUAAACGAGGGCCCCGGGGGGCCGGGGAAUGGUCA
This 1279-nucleotide long non-coding RNA is filed under the name Monodelphis domestica (gray short-tailed opossum). RNAcentral describes it as "lncRNA (ENSMODG00000041928.1)". The record is from RNAcentral. Lineage: Eukaryota; Metazoa; Chordata; Mammalia; Didelphimorphia; Didelphidae.